GAUGAACGCUGGCGGCGUGCUUAACACAUGCAAGUCGAACGAAGCACUUUAUUUUAUUUCCUUCGGGACUGAUUAUUUUGUGACUGAGUGGCGGACGGGUGAGUAACGCGUGGGUAACCUGCCUUGUACAGGGGGAUAACAGUUGGAAACGGCUGCUAAUACCGCAUAAGCGCACAGCAUCGCAUGAUGCAGUGUGAAAAACUCCGGUGGUAUAAGAUGGACCCGCGUUGGAUUAGCUAGUUGGUGAGGUAACGGCACACCAAGGCGACGAUCCAUAGCCGACAUGAGAGGGUGACCGGCCACAUUGGGAAUGAGACACGGCCCAAAAUCCUACGGGAGGCAGCAGAGGGGAAUAUUGCAAAAUGGGCGAAAGCCUGAUGCAGCGACGCCGCGUGAGCGAAGAAGUAUUUCGGUAUGUAAAGCUCUAUCAGCAGGGAAGAUAAUGACGGUACCUGACUAAGAAGCACCGGCUAAAUACGUG
This 481-nucleotide ribosomal RNA is filed under the name uncultured bacterium. Its description in RNAcentral is "partial 16S ribosomal RNA". It matches the Rfam family "Bacterial small subunit ribosomal RNA", at positions 28 to 507 of the family's 1533-position model. The record is from RNAcentral.